UACGUAGGGUGCGAGCGUUAAUCGGAAUUACUGGGCGUAAAGCGUGCGCAGGCGGAUUGUUAAGCAAGAUGUGAAAUCCCCGGGCUUAACCUGGGAAUGGCGUUUGAAACUACGGAGCUGGAGUGUGGCAGAGGGAGGUAGAAUUCCACGUGUAGCGGUGAAAUGCGUAGAUAUGUGGAGGAAUACCGAUGGCGAAGGCAGCCUCCUGGGCCAACACUGACGCUCAUGCACGAAAGCGUGGGGAGCAAACAGG
This 253-nucleotide ribosomal RNA is filed under the name uncultured bacterium. RNAcentral describes it as "partial 16S ribosomal RNA". It matches the Rfam family "Bacterial small subunit ribosomal RNA", at positions 524 to 776 of the family's 1533-position model. The record is from RNAcentral.